Non-coding RNA from Arachis ipaensis, 729 nucleotides. Lineage: Eukaryota; Viridiplantae; Streptophyta; Magnoliopsida; Fabales; Fabaceae. The record is from RefSeq and is a predicted model, not a curated record.
UAAACACUUAGUAAUUUUUCUUUUCCUUAUCACCAAAUCACACUCACCUUUGAAUACCCUCACUUUCGCCAUCUGAUCAGAAAAAGGUUUCGCCCCUCACCUUCGCAAAUCACCUUCGAAUUAAUUCUUUAAAACCCUAACCCUAACACACCCACACACUCACACUCAUUCUCACCAUCACUCACCACCCCCACCACGCCCCUUUUCACACACACACACACCCAUAUCCGAGAGAAAGAGUGAACCAGAGGGAGGAGAGGAGGAGACAGAGAUGAGAGAGCGCGAUCGAGAGAAUAGAGAGUGAGAGGGGGUCACCGCCGCAACGUCGCUGCAGCCGACGCCAUUGCCGUCGCGGAGCAGGGAGCCCGGAGGGGAGAGAGAGAUGAUUUGCAUACGAGAUGGAAAGAGAGGAUGAAGAUGCGACGCAAGAGAGGAGGCUGUUCCGCCGUGCACUGUUGUCGCUCCUGGGGUCGAUUGAAGCCGCCGCCGCCGCAACUAGGGCUUGCCGUGCUCCUGGGGUCGAUCUCUGCGCUUCUCAUCAUUGUCUCUGUGCUCACGUCGUUGAUUAGAAGGGAGCUCGAAGAGUUAGGUGUGACACUUCCAAAGGAUGCAUUCGAACUGAUUUUUGUUUUCCUCCAAGAGUGGGACAAACUCCACUUUUCCACAAAAUUUCAGCUACGAGGCUGCUGGGCAUGUAAUUUUGGCAUUUCUUUUUCUGUGUGGUUAAUU